AAUAGAUACCCCGGUAGUCCACGCCGUAAACGAUGAGUGCUAGGUGUCGGAGGGGUACACCUUUCGGUGCCGAAGUCAACACAUUAAGCACUCCGCCUGGGGAGUACGGCCGCAAGGCUGAAACUCAAAGGAAUUGACGGGGACCCGCACAAGCAGUGGAGUAUGUGGUUUAAUUCGAAGCAACGCGAAGAACCUUACCAGGUCUUGACAUCCCCCUGACCGGUGCAGAGAUGUGCCUUUCCUUCGGGACAGGGGAGACAGGUGGUGCAUGGUUGUCGUCAGCUCGUGUCGUGAGAUGUUGGGUUAAGUCCCGCAACGAGCGCAACCCUUGAGCUUAGCUGCCAGCGCGUGAUGGCGGGCACUCUAGGCUGACUGCCGGUGACAAACCGGAGGAAGGCGGGGAUGACGUCAAAUCAUCAUGCCCCUUAUGACCUGGGCUACACACGUACUACAAUGGCCGGUACAAAGGGCCGCGAAGGAGCGAUCCGGAGCCAAUCCCAUAAAGCCGGUCUCAGUUCGGAUUGUAGGCUGC
This 532-nucleotide ribosomal RNA is filed under the name uncultured bacterium. RNAcentral describes it as "bacterial SSU rRNA". It matches the Rfam family "Bacterial small subunit ribosomal RNA", at positions 777 to 1308 of the family's 1533-position model. The record is from RNAcentral.